UUUUUUUUUUUUUAAAGAAACAUAGCCACUGCAGGAAAACUUCCAAAUUUUUUUCACUUUUUCCUAGUGCUUCCUAAUAUUUAAAAGGUUUUUCAGCUAAUUAGAGAUUCCUGAAUAAAUGGGCAUGAUACAUAAGGAUAAUAUGUUUUUUGUUUGUCUGGUAAAUAUUUGCUGAAUGAAUCACAAUGAACAAAUGAAAACAUUUAUAAAAGGAUAAGUCGCUAUUAUGAAUCAGGUGGGUUUUGAUAUAUACAAAAGUUACCCAUUUUCAUGAGCAUGAUUUCUGAGAAUUACUGGUAUUGAUUCUAUUUUAAUGAAAGACAAAUAAGUAGAGCUGCCUCUCUACUCCAUGCAGGCAAAGGAAAGUUAAAAAGUAAAGCAAUUAUCUGGAUAAUUCCGACAAAAAACCAACUAUUGAGAGAAAGGAAGCCCUCCUUUUUCCUGGCCCAAAUUCAUUUGAGCCAUCCAAUAACAUGACCCACUAGAGUGGAAUUUGGCAUUCAAGAGGCUUGUCUUGGCUCGUGUCCAGUGGCGUUUAGUUACUGAACUCUUUAAAGGACAUUGUUCAAACAUGGUCUCCCAUGUAACUGGGUUCUAAGGCAUGAGCUGCAAGAACCUUGACACCGCCAUGUGUCUCCAGGGUAUUCUUCCAUUGGAUCAAAUUAUCCAGAAAACACUCUCAUUCCAGUUCACCUUUCUGGGUUAGACAAAACCAAAAUGGAUUGCCCAAGACUUGCUCCACAAUAAUUACAUGCAGAUACUUGAAAGCCCUGCUGCAAAGUAUGUUAAUAAAUACGAUCCCAGUUCCUAGAUAGUAUAGAUAGAAGCAAAUAUGCCAAAGGUGACAGUUAUGUGGUAAUUCCUCACUCACCACCCUGCCUGCCGCAUUCUCUGUUCCUCUGGACACACUUUUGAUUACCGAAAGAACUGUGUUGACUUCAUGAAUGGCAGAAAUCACGACACUCAAACUAUUCUCCAUUCCAACCUUCUCUCAUGACUCUAAUUUGAUCCCUGAACACUUGUUUACCUAAUUGGGAAAAAAUACAAGGAUGUCUGGCAGAGCGUAACCGUGUUGCAGAAACAGCAACUGUGGCCUUUUGCUUGCCUUUCCUUUGCUGGCCAUGCCUGAGCAAGGUUCUCUGUAAGAUGACCUGGGCUGGGCAUUCUGCCCAUGCGCACACCUGGCAGAUGGAAUCCUCCUGUCCUUGGGAACCCGGAUACAUGCUGAGUUCCCAUUUUCUUUGACUGCAAAACAGACAAGGACCAGCUGGUUAGUGCUGACACGGCUCGCACUACUGGCGGGAACACUACUUAAGUGUUCUGCGUUUGCUCAUUAUUUAUCAAUGGGGAGAUAGUUCUCUGGAGAAAAGCAUGCCCUUUGUCUUCUGACGGAAAGUCUGUUCUUCCAAUGGGGAAUGACCUAGAAAGUAAAACCUGAUAAUUCAUUUCCCAUGUGUGAGUCCCACGUGUAAUUCCCCAUGUGUAAGUUUUCAUUUUAAAGGUUCGAGUUCAAAUAUAAGAAAUGAAUUGUGGCCCUAGAAAUUCCAGAUACUUAAGGUUUCCCUGUAGCAAUAGGAUUUUUAAUAGAUUUUAAUGCCAUCUCUCCUUGAGCAGUUUAUUUUAUCACCACUUUGAAGCAUAUAUUAUUGCUAUAAGUACUAUUAACUAUUUGAAGAUAACUUCACACUGGAAAUAAUUUUUUGCCUCUCAGCCUCAAGGGUUUAAUGCAUUCACAUAAUCCAGUGCUUUCCUGUGUGGCAACAAGGGCCUUGCAUGGACCUGCAGACUCUGGAGACAGAAAAGUGGAAAAUUAGAUGCUUAGCUAAUAAACCAGAGAGAGGGCUCUUCCGCUUUUCCAACACUAUGUGGGAAAACAUCAAAAAAUGUAAUAAUGGAAUUUUUUUAAUACCUACAUCUGAUAUUGAAAACUCUCAAGCUCUCCUCUUCCUCCUCUUCUUCUUUCUCUCCCCUUCUCUGUCUCUUUCUCUUCUCUUUUCUUAUCCUUUUUGGUCUUAUUAGAGCGAAUAUCAGGGUCCCUUUGCUCUUUGAAUUAUUCAUGUUACUCCGAUUAAUGCUGGGUUCAUAUUCAUCCAAAAAAAGCUUAUUUUUGCUUUAGUUUUUCAACCAUGAAACUAAUAGAGCAUAAUAGAAAUGUAACCGAUACUUAGCUAUUGUCCUGGAAAUAGAUCCCACUACAAUUAUAUGUAAGAGAUAUUUAAAAAUAACUGUAAAACAGGAGGGAUAUUUAUGCUCUUCUUAAGAUGAAUAGACUUAUUUAUAGGUGGAGAGACAUUCCAUAAGAUAAGCUAAAAUUAAUCAUAUUGCUGAAGUUUUCAAAGAGGUCAGAGUCCAAAUUAAAUAUAGAAGGGCAAACCGGUUUCUUCCUCUUGCGUAUUUUAAUGAAGACUAGAGAGGCUGGAGAAAUAUUUAUAUUCUUUUAUUCAUAUUUUCAGGAUUGCCUCAUGUCUCGAUUUUUUUUCAAGUCUCUCAUUUAAGUGAGGGUACUUCAAAGUGAAUAUGGGUAUUCUCAACUCCUCAUAUCUUAAUGAAGAAAAAAAGGAAGAAUUAAUGGGACUGGAAAUUUAAAAACAACAGAUGUACUAGAAGUGUGAUUACUGCCAUGAGUGAGACAUACGGGGGAGUGCCGCCACUUUAUGUAGCUAUGACUGAGGGCUGAUUGUAUCAUAGAGAAACUGGAGCCCCAGAGUCAUGCUGAGACCAUCUCUAGGCAAUGACCGCUGAUUUCCCUUGGAGGACAAGAGAUAAGGAGCUGUUUCUUCCUAAAUAAAGCUCUCUGAUUGCUUUGUGGUUAACAAGGCGCCCUGCGAAGGAUCAUGGGUAAUUCAUUUAAGGAUGAAUAUUGACUCUUUUUUUUUUUUUUUUGUCUUUUUUUAGGGCCGCACCCAUAGCAUAUGGAAGUUCCCAGGCUAGGGGUCCAAUCAGAGAUACAGCUGCCAGCCUACACCACAACUCACAGCAACGCCAGAUCUUUAACUCACUGAACAUGGCCAGGGAUCGAACCCGCAUCCUCAUGGAUGCUAAUUGGGUUUGUUAACCACUGAGCCACAGCAGGAACUCCAAGGAUGAACACUGAAAUGGGUUGUGUGGUGAGUGUGGAAAUUGUGCUCCCGAACACUGGCUGCAUUGCUUGGAUGGAAUUUAAAGGCAGAGAGGGCCCAGCUCUUGAUGUCCUCCACUGAGGGGUGGGCACAGAGAAGUGAGCUGAACUCCAGAAUCCAAGGUCAGAAAGAGACUCCCAACAGUACCCCUUGUGCUGAAGCAACAUUGCUUCCAUUCUGACCCCAGAUAUUUUUUUUUUCCUCCACAGAGCUACAUACUUCAGUCAUGACGCCUUAGGCAAGAAAGCAACGUCUUCAGACAGUGGCUGAGAUAAGAAAGACGAGGCGAAGCUGAGUCCCAGGCACAAUGGUGUGCAUGUUGAUAUCACUGAGUUAUGAACUAUUUCCUUUUAAUCCAGUUUCAAAAAGAUGACUUCCUCCAUAUGCAAUUAAUUCCACAUAUCACUACAAGGAACUGCAUAUUUUCGAACAGUAGUGUCAUCAGUAUGAAUGUUUAAACAAUCUCUGUGGUCUCUUUCCCACAAACUGAUUUAACAUGUAUAUAAAGAGGCUUUUGGAAUGAGCACUUUACAUUUGCUUCUCAAACUUCAGCGUCUGUUUUCAGUAAAUAUUGAAGAUGAAACUUUCCCCAUUCAUGCCUGGAGCACUGGCCAGUUGCAACUGAGGAAUGCAGUGCUUGGGCUUUUUCAUGAAUAAAAUUCUCUGGCUGUCAACCUAGUCUUUCUCAGGCCAUGUCAACAGGACCACAACAGGAUGGAUGUGAGAUAAAGGAUUCAUGGCAGUUGGUUGAGCUGGCCACAGAUUAUCCUAAUUAAUAUCAAGACAGUGGGAGCCUCUUGAAGCUAGGUUCAAUCCUAUAGACCACAUAACUCUGUCCAUAGUGGUUCCAGUUCACUCUUACUUCUCUGGUGUAACUAUUAAUAGUUUUUUUUCAAAAAUGUUCCAGUUUGAGCUGGAAUAUAUAUGAUUGCACUACUAAUAGCAAUACCCAUUUUAGGUCUCUGUGUCCCUGCUUUUCAUGAGUGCAGCAAAUAUGUGUUGGGGUUCUGGUCCUAAAGAUCCAUUUUAUAAGCCAAAAUCAUCAAAACUGAUGAAGAAAAUAACAUAUGAUUAAUUAAAACAGAACUAUACAAGUGGCAUAAUAAUUUAUUGACAAAUUAAGGUACCAUUUUUCUCCCCAUGUAUUUUUUUCUCUUCUUUCCCAUUUUAGGUAGGACCCAGUCCCUUGUGUACUUCCUUGCCUCAGGAAUUAUUGCAGGAUGGAAGGCACAAGCCCCUGAAAAGUCCGUGGCUCUUCCUGUUGUUUUGUAAAUGCCUAUGGCUACUAAAGAAAUAAGAAGUGCCCCAGACUCUCAGGAGGAGGGAGGAGGGAUGACGUGUGUUGGCAGGCAGAGAGUCAGAGAGUCAGAGAGAGAGGCUCCUCUGCUUAAGGAGGCAGAGGAGCAGGACUGCAGGCCCUGCUGAGAAAGUGAGCAGGGGAGGUUGUGACUUAAACCCACAACAGGAUUACCUGUGCAAUUUGGGGAUCCAGUGCAAAAUGAAACUCUGGCGCUUCUUGUUCAAAUUUCAAGAUGGCAACAGCAGAGCACUAAAACAAAUUCACCCUUUGCAAAGUCCCCUAACCCCAAAUGGUUCCACCAAAAUCCAGGGCCCCACCAUGGGCCACACAGGACAGUUGGCAGCAGUACCUUAAAAGACUGGAGACUAGAGGGCCUACCUCAACUGCCUUCAUUCCAAAUAAACCUUUUGUUUUUUCUGGUGUGACCCUGGGAAGGAGAGGGGUUCCCAUAAAGGAUGUGAUAGACAUUCUUGCCAUCUUGGAGGGAGGAUGGAGGCUAUGAGUCAGAAAGCUAAGCUGAUUUAAAGAAAUAAAGAAAUUGAUACGUUUUGCAC
RNAcentral lists this long non-coding RNA (4973 nucleotides) under Sus scrofa (pig). RNAcentral describes it as "lncRNA (ENSSSCG00000058794.1)". Lineage: Eukaryota; Metazoa; Chordata; Mammalia; Artiodactyla; Suidae. The record is from RNAcentral.